UGAGGAACAUGACUUUCGGCGGGGGAGUAGCCGGGCCCAACGGCCGGGUAAUACCGCGUACGACCUCUCGGGGACAUCCCCGGUUGGUGAAAGCAGCAAUGCACCGAAAGAGUGCCUCGCGGCCUAUCAGCUUGUUGGUGGGGUGAUGGCUUACCAAGGCGACGACGGGUAGCCGGCCUGAGAGGGCGACCGGCCACACUGGGACUGAGACACGGCCCAGACUCCUACGGGGAGGCAG
This 238-nucleotide ribosomal RNA is filed under the name uncultured bacterium. RNAcentral's name for it is "partial 16S ribosomal RNA". It matches the Rfam family "Bacterial small subunit ribosomal RNA", at positions 118 to 351 of the family's 1533-position model. The record is from RNAcentral.